RNAcentral lists this ribosomal RNA (393 nucleotides) under uncultured bacterium. RNAcentral's name for it is "bacterial SSU rRNA". It matches the Rfam family "Bacterial small subunit ribosomal RNA", at positions 335 to 708 of the family's 1533-position model. The record is from RNAcentral.
ACUCCUACGGGAGGCAGCAGUGGGGAAUAUUGCACAAUGGGCACCAGCCUGAUGCAGCCAUGCCGCGUGAUGUAGCAAGAAUGGGCCUUCGGGUUGAUAAAGCACUUUUCAGUUGUGAGGAAGGUGGUGUCGUUAAUAGCGGCAUCAUUUGACGUUAGCAACAGAAGAAGCACCGGCUAACUCCGUGCCAGCAGCCGCGGUAAUACGGAGGGUGCGAGCGUUAAUCGGAAUUACUGGGCGUAAAGCGCAUGCAGGCGGCCUUGUUAAGUCAGAUGUGAAAGCCCGGGGCUUAACCUCGGAACUUGACAUUUGAACUGGCAGACUNGAUGUACUGGGUAGAAUGGGGGAGAAUUUCAGGUGUAGCGGUGAAAUGCGUAGAGAUCUGAAGGAACU